ACUCAAAGGAAUUGACGGGGGCCCGCACAAGCGGUGGAGUAUGUGGUUUAAUUCGAAGCAACGCGCAGAACCUUACCUGGUCUUGACAUCCCACGAAUACAGCAGAGAUGUUGUAGCGGCUUCGGUCGCGUGGAGACAGGUGCUGCAUGGCUGUCGUCAGCUCGUGUUGUGAAAUGUUCGGUUAAGUCCGGCAACGAGCGCAACCCCUGUCCUUAGUUACCACCAUUAAGUUGGGGACUCUAGGGAGACUGCCGGUGUUAAACCGGAGGAAGGCGGGGAUGACGUCAAGUCCUCAUGGCCCUUACGACCAGGGCUACACACGUACUACAAUGGUCGAAACAAACCGUUCCGAAACCGCGAGGUGGAGGUAAUCGGUAAAACACGAUCUCAGUCCGGAUUGAAGUCUGCAACUCGACUUCAUGAAGUUGGAAUCGCUAGUAAUCGCAGAUCAGCACGCUGCGGUGAAUACGUUCCCGGGCCUUGCACACACCGCCCGU
Molecule: ribosomal RNA, 497 nt
Filed under: uncultured bacterium
Lineage: Bacteria
Description: partial 16S ribosomal RNA
Rfam family: Bacterial small subunit ribosomal RNA
Source: RNAcentral